GCUCGCUUCGGCAGCACAUACAAUAAGUGAAAUGACAGAGAACAUUAGCAUGGCUCCUGUGCAAAGAUGACUUGCAAAUUCAUUUAGUGUUCCCUAAUUUUU
This is a small nuclear RNA of Rhinolophus ferrumequinum (greater horseshoe bat), 102 nucleotides long. Lineage: Eukaryota; Metazoa; Chordata; Mammalia; Chiroptera; Rhinolophidae. The record is from Ensembl.